This 612-nucleotide ribosomal RNA is filed under the name Triticum aestivum (bread wheat). RNAcentral's name for it is "partial small subunit ribosomal RNA". The record is from RNAcentral. Lineage: Eukaryota; Viridiplantae; Streptophyta; Magnoliopsida; Poales; Poaceae.
AUGUGUAGCAGGAGGAGGUCCGUCGCCCACGGCAGCCACCGGCUGCUCCCAGCGGACGCUGAUGACGACGGCGAGUUCACCUGCGACGGCUGUCUGGUCGCCGGCGCCGGGCCCCGGUACCUGUGCGGCCACCCCGUCUGUGGCUUCAAGCUCCACGAGGUAUGCGCGCGCAGCUUCCCCAGGACGCUCAAGUCCAUCGUCCACUCCCAGCACAGGCUGAAACGGCGCGAGAGCGCUGGCGACGGCAACGUCAGGUGCGAGGUGUGCGGGGAGGACGUGAAGGGCGCGUGCUACGGCUGCAGCGCCGGUGGGUGCGCUUCCGCGACAGUCGUGGUGCACCCGCUCUGCGUCCGCCUGCCGCCCGUGGCGCGGGGUCCGGCCGCGGCGCACCCCUGCGGCCACGACGCGUGGCUCGUCAAGAAGUCGGAUGGCGGCGCCGCGCCGGCGUCUAUGUGCGCGGCCUCGAUGUGGCGUGGAGGUACCGGUGCGGGACGUGCCGGGUGGACGUGCACCCGCGGUGCUUCGUGCCGCCCGCGGACCAGUGCCGCGGCGGCGAGGCGGCGGCCGCCUCCAUGGGGAAGCGCUGCUGCCUCGUGUUUGGGCAGGACUUGA